GUGAGUACUAGAUAAAAGCUUUAGAAAUUGUGCGACAACAAUCACUCUUCUAGUCAUUCAGAAGGGAAAAAAAACUGCGCUGCACAAUCGAUAAGUGACAAUCUGGGGAAGAAAUGGCUGCCAAAGUUUCUAACUGGACUUUCUAAUCCUAAUAUGACUUUUUUUUUUCUCCCCCCAAAUGAAUAAAAACAUGCACCCCUGCUAAGAAAAUAAAAAGAAAAAGAGGAAGAAACAGCAGUUUUUAUGACACAGGAAAAGGCAGCUGUUGGUCGCAACGAGGCCUAUCAUCAUGUCGUACUGUACUGGCAUGGAGGGAGUGCUCAAGCGAAAUGGGAAGCUAUUAGACGUCAUUGCACCAGGCAGACCUCCUAUAAAAAAGGAAUGCCAUUCCAGCUGCCUCUCUCAAAUAAUUAACUUAGCGUUGACGCUCCUCAUGUGAUUGAGAGUCGUGCGACUGGAGGUGCGCGUGAUGAAGCCCCGCUCAUCUCCUAUUCAUCAUGAUGUAACCGUGAGCAACCCGGAUCUAAAUUACCUUCGUCUGGCAUCAUUCCAGCACAUGCUAUAAAUGAGCAUGUCAGCUGCACUCAGCGGUGCCGUCCCCGAACGGUCUGGAGAAGAGCACGGCGGAUGACGUGGAACAACAGAGCCAUCAAGUCCCAUUUAUGCCUCCCGCCGUGACCUUGCCACAGACGUCGACGAGGUUCAGCAACGCACCCGGCCGAGUGCCGGCAACAUUCUGCUACCCGCUGCACUUCCGCGACACUCUGCUGACCUUAAAAGUGUGUCCUCGAUUUGGGGCAAGGCUGAAAACAUUCAGAAGCAGCAUUCUUGUCCUCCUUGCGUUGCGUUUGUUUGCAGUGGCCUACUUCUUUUCACAAAGCAGCUGUUCUACUUUUAUGGUGGUCUCUCCGGUGGAGCCCUCAUGCUGACUUGCGCUGACACCGACCAGGUGCUCGUCACAACGGUUUUCCACGGAGCCUUCAAACAGGAAGCAGAUGCGCUCAGGAGAAGGUGUCAGGCGUUUACACGCCGACGGAGAGCAUCGGAGCACUGCUGACAGCAACGUUUUGGCGUGGGUGUCCAUGGCGGCGCUUGACUCACCUCCGUGCAUCACGGCUGGGAAGGCCGAGCUGUCGACGUCUUUCAUGAUUCCGCCUCCAUCCGCUUGUACUCGGUUGGGAGAAACAAGAUGGCUUGUUUUCUCGCAAUGUCUUUAAAAUGCAACGUAGCUGCGACUCAAGCCACUUGGUCCAAUCAAAUGCACGAUCCAGCCUCCUUAACGGCCUCCUGUCCGGCCAUGGCGCCUCCUUAUUUCGAUUGCCCCCUUGAUCACUCUUUUCAAUUGAGUGGGUUCUGAUGUGAUGACUUUCCCCUUUCUAAAGGAAAAGCUACAGAAAAAAAUAAAUGAGCUGACGCGUCCAUGUUGAUUUGCACAAAAAAGGAACAUCAAGUACUGUCAGUCUUCCUUUGCAUACUGGAUGUGAUACAAGGUGUAUGGAAAUCCGUUUUGCAGUCUUUCCACAAUGUCGCCGACAACUAUCGAAACAAGAGCUCUUGCUCUUUGCGCACCAAGAAAAAAAAAAAAAAGCCAACACCAAAGAACUCUUAUUAGAUCCGAACGCCACUUACCAACUCCAGUAUUUCUGAUCUACCUUCAAAAGCUGACAUUGAAACCAUUAAGUACACAUUUUUGUGAGUUCUGCGCCUUGUUGGGAUCCGUCGGUGUUGAAAGCUCUGAGACCGCGGCGGUAAUCCUCAUCUAUCAACACGCUAAGCUUGCUUGCUGCCUUCAAUAAGACUCUCUGCUGGGAUUUUGUUGAUGUUGUCAGGAAGCAUUUACGCCACCAUGCCGAUCAAAAUUCCACUUGGACAUUUUUUUUUCUUCUGUUUCUUGUUUUGUUUUGUUUCCGAUGGACCAAAACGACAGAAGAAUUGAAUGCGCUUCUACUUGGAAAGCUGAAAAACCAAAUAAAUAAGUCUGGGUACAUUUGGAAAGUUGCAUUCAUGCCAAAAAUCAAGAGGUCGUUUAACUUGUGCAACAGAGGGAGAUUUAGUUGAUGAAGCACUGUACUUGGCGUUCAUCUGUUGUGCAAAUUAACAUUUAAUAGCCACGCGCAUUUGAAUAUGUUCUUUCCCAACACAGUGAGAAACCACCAACGUGGAGAGCGAGCGCGC
This is a long non-coding RNA of Hippocampus comes (tiger tail seahorse), 2175 nucleotides long. RefSeq lists it as uncharacterized. NCBI's taxonomy places the organism in Eukaryota, Metazoa, Chordata, Actinopteri, Syngnathiformes, Syngnathidae. The transcript has 5 exons. The record is from RefSeq and is a predicted model, not a curated record.